Molecule: ribosomal RNA, 253 nt
Filed under: uncultured bacterium
Lineage: Bacteria
Description: partial 16S ribosomal RNA
Rfam family: Bacterial small subunit ribosomal RNA
Source: RNAcentral
UACAGAGGGUGCGAGCGCUAAUCGGAAUUACUGGGCGUAAAGCGUGCGUAGACGGUAGCGUAAGUCAGAUGUGAAAGCCCCGGGCUCAACCUGGGAAUUGCAUUUGAGACUGCUCUGCUCGGGUGCGGAAGAGGGAAGCGGAAUUUCCGGUGUAGCGGUGAAAUGCGUAGAUAUCGGAAGGAACACCAGUGGCGAAAGCGGCUUCCUGGUCCGACACCGACGUUCAGGCACGAAAGCGUGGGGAGCAAACAGG